Molecule: ribosomal RNA, 450 nt
Filed under: uncultured Anaerolineaceae bacterium
Lineage: Bacteria; Bacillati; Chloroflexota; Anaerolineae; Anaerolineales; Anaerolineaceae
Description: bacterial SSU rRNA
Rfam family: Bacterial small subunit ribosomal RNA
Source: RNAcentral
GGGCCCGCACAAGCAGCGGAGCGUUGUGGUUUAAUUCGUUGCUACACGAAGAACCUUACCUGGGUUUGACAUAAUGGUGUAGGGAUCCGAAAGGUGACGACCCUUCGGGAGCCAUUACAGGUGUUGCAUGGCUGUCGUCAGCUCGUGUCGUGAGAUGUUCGGUUAAGUCCGCUAACGAGCGCAACCCUCGCUGUGUGUUAUAUGUGUCACACAGGACUGCUGGUAUUUAAGCCGGAGGAAGUGGGACGACGUCAAGUCAGCAUGACCUUUAUAUCCAGGGCUACACACACGCUACAAUGGUCAGUACAAUGGGUUGCCAAGCCGCGAGGCGGAGCCAAUCCUAAAAAGCUGGCCUCAGUUCAGAUUGCAGUCUGAAACUCGACUGCAUGAAGUCGGAGUUGCUAGUAAACGCAGGUCAGCUAUACUGCGUUGAAUACGUUCCCGGGGCUU